AGAAAAAUCUUUAGCCACGGCUUAGAAAGGGCCGCCGUAAGCUGUGCUUCCAACUCCAAAAACUGCGAAUUUGCACUUAGAAAGCAACAAAGAACCGACUCGAAAAUCAUCAGCACUGUCAGCGAGCCAAUUCGCGAAGAAACUGGCGUUUGAAGGCGGUUUUCCAUCUUCCCAAGUGGAAGCGAUAAUUAUUACCACCGUCUCUUUGGAAAGGUCCUCAGGCUCAUAGUCUUUGAUAUCGAUGAGGUCAAAUAAGAGAUCGUUUAACUUGAAGAGAUUGUGGAGGCGCUGCGCUAGGGUUUUGGAGGUCCCUGUUUGAGAGAUGAAGAAGAGCUUGCCUUUAUUAGAAGAGCUAAUAGGAUUAGCAUUGAGAUUAUCUUUAGGGUUUAGGGAGAUUUUCAGGAGUUUGAGACGGCGAGAUUUGUAGAAGCAGUAGAAGGUGGAGGCUGAGAGGAGAGCUAGGAGAGUUAAGCGAGCGUAGGUGGAGGACAGGGACAUGGUUGGGAUUUUAUAAGUCUAUGGGCUUUGUAGUGAGAGUGACUGAAAUAUUGCAGGUGUUAAAGAGAGAAUGUAGAGAGCUGCGUUCAUCGUCGAAGAAACAAGAGCGAGUCAGCGUCAC
RNAcentral lists this unclassified non-coding RNA (619 nucleotides) under Hevea brasiliensis (rubber tree). The record is from RNAcentral. Lineage: Eukaryota; Viridiplantae; Streptophyta; Magnoliopsida; Malpighiales; Euphorbiaceae.